Molecule: ribosomal RNA, 484 nt
Filed under: uncultured bacterium
Lineage: Bacteria
Description: partial 16S ribosomal RNA
Rfam family: Bacterial small subunit ribosomal RNA
Source: RNAcentral
AUUGAACGCUGGCGGCAGGCCUAACACAUGCAAGUCGAGCGGAUGAAGGGAGCUUGCUCCUGGAUUCAGCGGCGGACGGGUGAGUAAUGCCUAGGAAUGUGCCUGGUAGUGGGGGAUAACGUCCGGAAACGGGCGCUAAUACCGCAUACGUCCUGAGGGAGAAAGUGGGGGAUCUUCGGACCUCACGCUAUCAGAUGAGCCUAGGUCGGAUUAGCUAGUUGGUGGGGUAAAGGCCUACUAAGGCGACGAUCCGUAACUGGUCUGAGAGGAUGAUCGGUCACACUGGAACUGAGACACGGUCCAGACUCCUACGGGAGGCAGCAGUGGGGAAUAUUGGACAAUGGGCGAAAGCCUGAUCCAGCCAUGCCGCGUGUGUGAAGAAGGUCUUCGGAUUGUAAAGCACUUUAAGUUGGGAGGAAGGGCAGUAAGUUAAUACCUUGCUGUUUUGACGUUACCAACAGAAUAAGCACCGGCUAACUUCGUG